AACGAACGCUGGCGGCAUGCCUAACACAUGCAAGUCGAACGAGACCUUCGGGUCUAGUGGCGCACGGGUGCGUAACGCGUGGGAACCUGCCCUUAGGUUCGGAAUAACUCCCCGAAAGGGGUGCUAAUACCGGAUAAUGUCUUCGGACCAAAGAUUUAUCGCCUUUGGAUGGGCCCGCGUUGGAUUAGCUAGUUGGUAGGGUAAAAGCCUACCAAGGCGACGAUCCAUAGCUGGUCUGAGAGGAUGAUCAGCCACACUGGGACUGAGACACGGUCCAGACUCCUACGGGAGGCAGCAGUGGGGAAUACUGGACAAUGGGCGAAAGCCUGAUCCAGCAAUGCCGCGUGAGUGAUGAAGGCCUUAGGGUUGUAAAGCUCUUUUACCCGGGAUGAUAAUGACAGUACCGGGAGAAUAAGCUCCGGCUAACUCCGUG
RNAcentral lists this ribosomal RNA (433 nucleotides) under uncultured bacterium. Its description in RNAcentral is "partial 16S ribosomal RNA". It matches the Rfam family "Bacterial small subunit ribosomal RNA", at positions 29 to 507 of the family's 1533-position model. The record is from RNAcentral.